GCGGAGGAAAAGAAACCAACAGGGAUUGCCCUAGUAACGGCGAGUGAAGCGGCAACAGCCCAAAUUUGAAAUCUGACCCCCUGGGGUCCGAGUUGUAAUUUGGAGAGGAUGCCUCGGUGGAGGCCCCGGCCGAAGUGCCUUUGAACGGGCCGUCAGAGAGGGUGAGAACCCCGUCCGCGGUCGCCGGCCCCCACCGUGUGAGGCUCCUUCGACGAGUCGAGUUGUUUGGGAAUGCAGCUCUAAAUGGGAGGUAAAUUCCUUCCAAGGCUAAAUAUCCGCCAGAGACCGAUAGCGCACAAGUAGAGUGAUCGAAAGGUGAAAAGCACUUUGAAAAGAGGGUGAAACAGCACGUGAAAUUGUUGAAAGGGAAGCGCUUGCAACCAGAGUCGUCCGCGGGGGCUCCACCGACCCUCGGGCCCGGUGUACUCCCCCGCGGUCGAGCCAGCAUCAGCUCGGCCGGUCGGAUAAAGGCCGUGGGAAUGUGACACCCUCGGGAGUGUUAUAGCCCUCGGAACAAGACCACAC
This 525-nucleotide ribosomal RNA is filed under the name Kirschsteiniothelia aethiops. Its description in RNAcentral is "eukaryotic LSU rRNA". It matches the Rfam family "Eukaryotic large subunit ribosomal RNA", at positions 50 to 579 of the family's 3401-position model. The record is from RNAcentral. Lineage: Eukaryota; Fungi; Ascomycota; Dothideomycetes; Kirschsteiniotheliales; Kirschsteiniotheliaceae.